AAGCAACGCGAAGAACCUUACCAGGCCUUGACAUGCAGAGAACUUUCCAGAGAUGGAUUGGUGCCUUCGGGAACUCUGACACAGGUGCUGCAUGGCUGUCGUCAACUCGUGUCGUGAGAUGUUGGGUUAAGUCCGUAACGAGCGCAACCCUUGUCCUUAGUUACCAGCACGUUAUGGUGGGCACUCUAAGGAGACUGCCGGUGACAAACCGGAGGAAGGUGGGGAUGACGUCAAGUCAUCAUGGCCCUUACGGCCUGGGCUACACACGUGCUACAAUGGUCGGUACAAAGGGUUGCCAAGCCGCGAGGUGGAGCUAAUCCCAUAAAACCGAUCGUAGUCCGGAUCGCAGUCUGCAACUCGACUGCGUGAAGCCGGAAUCGCUAGUAAUCGUGAAUCAGAAUGUCACGGUGAAUACGUUCCCGGGCCUU
RNAcentral lists this ribosomal RNA (428 nucleotides) under uncultured Pseudomonas sp. Its description in RNAcentral is "bacterial SSU rRNA". It matches the Rfam family "Bacterial small subunit ribosomal RNA", at positions 954 to 1382 of the family's 1533-position model. The record is from RNAcentral. Lineage: Bacteria; Pseudomonadati; Pseudomonadota; Gammaproteobacteria; Pseudomonadales; Pseudomonadaceae.